CAGACCAAUUUAACGAGCUUGGGCAGGCUGGGAUGCCAGAUAACCACCUAGAAGUUGGUUUGAGCUUCGGUUAGAAGGACUCUGUUUUAUAUGACUGAUUGACAUGACAGAGCCUGAAUAUGAAAAUCUCUUAUCCUCUCAUAUUUCUCUUAGUGGUGUUUAACUUCAUUCUUAAUGACCGGAGAAAAGGGCCGAUCUGGAACGUGAUCAUGUGGACUGCGCUGUUCUUGGGUCAGGGGGUUCUCAUCUGCCUGUACUCUCAGGAGUGGUACGCACAGCGCUUCUGCCCCAUUCAAGAGCCUUCUUUCAUAGACUUGCUAAAACCUCGAUCCUGGACUUGUUCUCCAUAGACUAACACUGCUGUAGAUGCUCACUAAAGCCACAACACCAGCCACAAGAUGAAUGGGAUUUAUACUCUACUCGUUCUGGAACUUUUUUAGCAUUCUGUAGGUAUUGCACUCUGACCAAACAAAAUGAAAAGUGACAAUCUUACUCUAUAAUCAUGAGGACACCGUUUUAUAAAGAGGCCUUAGAUAUUUGAUUUGUUUAGAUCUUAAUAUUUAUGAAAACAUCUGUAAUAGAAUGUAGAAUGUCUAUAAUGUGCAUUUUGAAUAUUUAGGUAUUUCCUUUGAAAUGUCUAUGUGACGGUCUAGUUAGCAUUAGGUUAUGUCUGAUCUGGAGAUUCUAUUUUUUAGAAGCCUCUGUGAUGUCCUAAAUUUGAGAUCAGAUUAUACAGUAAAUGUGUUUUGUUUACUGCCACUUCUUAGAUAUCCUUAGAUAUUGUGUUUUGAUAUUGUAGUGUUAUUCCAGUACUGCAGAGGCCAUGGAUAUGGGGUACAUUUUAACCAGUUUUUGCCUGGACUGCACAAAAUCAUAGAAUGUUUACAAGCGGGGUUGAGAAUUCUAAAACCCCAAUGGAUUUAAAUUAUGUGCCAUACUGCUGUGAAACAGUUUUUUUUUUACUUCUUACCUUUUACUCCUAGACUUUUAAUUAAAAUGAAGAUGAUUUGGGUGGAAAUUCUCCAUUCUGCCAGUUUUAUUUACCAUAGUUACUGUUUGAAGAGUUAGACUUGUAGUCUGGACUUAAAGAGUUCUGGAAAUUUGUACUUAAUUUUUUUCCCCUUUCCAUAGAGCUAAACUAAUUAGAUACUAAUUUAAAAGCCAUGCUUUAGGACAUAUUUAUUACAAAAUAGGGUAUCAAAUGUUUGGAAGUUUUGAGGUUUUGCAGCUGGCUGCACUCAUGUGAUCAUUACUAAUGGUUUUCAAGCACAAUCCCUUUAUUAGUUACAAAUUAUGUACACUGCCAGAGUAUGCAGGGUAUUUAUUGUAAAAAAAAAAAAAAAAACAUCAUAAAGUCUAGGCCUUUUUGAAUGUCAUUUAUCAGUGCACAAAAGAGUUUUGAGUGAAUACUCUCUCCAGUUCCACAAAAUGUAUGAGACUGUCUGUAUAAUAUUUUAAAAACAUACUUGCAAUAGCUGUGACGACCGGCAGGUGGUGAUGGAGAGUUGAAUGUUAGAACUACUGUAUAUUUGCACACAGCAUUUUAGAUUUUAUUUCUUUAUGGCACCUGCCAUGUAAAUGUUCAGUUGUAAUUUCCAGAAUAGUCGAUGGCUGUAAUUUUCAUAACAAAAAAAGUGAAAACUAUUUUGAAAUAAUCUAAACGAAUGUCAUUUUUAAACAAAUUUUCAUCAUAAUUUAUCUUGUGAAAUGUUCAGCGUGUAGCCUGUACCACCAUGCUUUGCAAUGGACAAUUAAACAGUU
Molecule: long non-coding RNA, 1761 nt
Organism: Sinocyclocheilus anshuiensis
Lineage: Eukaryota; Metazoa; Chordata; Actinopteri; Cypriniformes; Cyprinidae
Exons: 2
Source: RefSeq, a predicted model, not a curated record